CCACUGGCGCAACCACCGCCUCUUCCACGGCGCGACUGCCACUCCUCCAUGGUCGCAAUCGCCUCUGCCAUCAACUUCUUCAUCGUCUCCAGCCCAACACCUGUUUGAGGCAUUUGACUCUCUAUAGAAUCAGAAUCGAUCAUCCUUUGGAGAGCAUGGAGCUAAUAGCCUAGCUUUCCUUUGUAGAAAAAAAAAAACUAAAUGUUGAUAAAAUUGAUUUGAAUCAUAUAUUUGAAAGCAAAUGGAAGAUUUUUUUUCACUACCUAAUGAAUCCAACCCAACUCAACCCUUAAUAUCUUUGUUGGAAGUAGGGUUGGGUUGUGCAAUAAAAAAAAUGUGAAUGACUCGUAGUUUUUACAAAUUGUAGUUAUUAGAUUGGCCCAUUCAAACACCCUCAACCCGGCCGGUCAGCCAAUGUGCAUCCAUGUAUGUGCUCCAUAUGUAUCCCAUAUCUGCAGACAACGCCGUAUAGAUCGUGUGUGAUGGUAAGAAUUGCAUGUCAUAUUCAAUGUAUACUCACGAAAUGUAGUAACAAUCCUUUACAUGGAUGACUACAAUGCUACGAGAUCUCUUUCUUGUACAAAUCAUCAGACACCACUAAACAAUGCAUUCAGAAGCAACAAUAUUACUUUA
This is a long non-coding RNA of Humulus lupulus (European hop), 633 nucleotides long. RefSeq lists it as uncharacterized. The transcript has 2 exons. Lineage: Eukaryota; Viridiplantae; Streptophyta; Magnoliopsida; Rosales; Cannabaceae. The record is from RefSeq and is a predicted model, not a curated record.